Antechinus flavipes (yellow-footed antechinus) is the source of this 1426-nucleotide long non-coding RNA. RefSeq lists it as uncharacterized. The record is from RefSeq and is a predicted model, not a curated record. NCBI's taxonomy places the organism in Eukaryota, Metazoa, Chordata, Mammalia, Dasyuromorphia, Dasyuridae. The transcript is spliced from 3 exons.
UUUGUGAAGUUCAUGUUUAUAUAGCUGUGGUAUUUUAUCCACAUGUAUUUUGCACACAUUGUCUAGUUUGAUCUUCGCAGAUUUGGAAUGUAAGCAGCACAAAUACAUUUGGGUUUUGUUUUGUUUUUAAUAGCUGAAGAAAUUGAAGCUUUUGAGUGAUGAAGUGAUAAGGUCACAGCUAUGAUGUGUUCUGGAGCCAAUACUCAAACCAGGUUGUCUGCCUCCAACUGUUUUCUACUAUACUGCUCCGUCUUUGUGAGAAGUUUUGUUGUAUUCUGGGUGUGUUGUCUUGCCAAUUAGUGUGUAAGCAUUGCAAAGGUAGGGUUUCUAGUGCUAUCCUUGCCUCCAUAUUGGCUGGGUAAAAUACACAAUGCUGCAUUCAGUAGGUAUUCAAAUGUUUGGCUGACUGGAUUGACUCUUUACCCUCUGUUCUAAGCAUUCAGCAUCUGGUUCCAGACAGAAGAUAUGUGUUGGAAUAAGAAUCUAUAAGAUUAGUUUUUGUCUACUGCCAUGGAGGUGAAUGAGUUUGGCAAUAAGCAUUGCAUUGCUAUCUUGGCCUACCUGGAUAAAGAGGAAAAAGAAAGUUGUUCCUUUGUUCCCAAAGAGGACCGAUGACAACAAGAGGGUGAUGUUUUGACUUACAAGUGAAUUAAUUGUAUUUUAAGUGAGACCAAGCUGUGCAAUCAAAAGCCCUACUCUCUAAUAUUGGAGUCCAGUCAGGACAACUGGCAGUGGUGCAAGAUGCAAGGAGGAAAAGAAGAACGAGAAGGGGGAAAAAAAGAUGUAUAAAAUGAAAAGGAGAACAUAAAGAUGAAUGGAAAGAGAAGAAAAAACCCCAGCUGGGAGCAAUGAGUGACAGAAGAGCUUGCCUGAAGCUAUAGAGGGAGUGCCUACUUCAUAACUACAGGCCUGCCCUUGUGUAUUACCUGCAGCGCCCAGUGAAACUAGCUGCGGUCUAUUUUCUCAGCCAAAGCUACUCAUCUAUCCCCAAGAGCUGCAGGCAGUGCCUAAUGGGGAAUCUCCUCCAUGAGAAACUAGAUCAGCAUUUUCCUGCCUCCUUUCUCCGGUGACUGAGGGAAGGAGAAAGAAGGUUGUACCUGUGUGGUAGAUGAAGUGGAAGAACAGACUGUCAAAUUGUUACUCUCUUUAAUUUCCCGGCAUUUCUAAAAGCAAUAUUCUGCUACUGUAUUUAAUCCUCCAACAGCGAGUGUGUAGGGGGGGGCGGGGGGAAGGAUGGAGUUGGAGCCUGGGGUAAUGUAUCCAGAAGUAAUAGAUAUGAAGAAGGCAAUUAGUAUGAAAGAUGUAGGUCUUGCAAUAACGUAGCCAUUUGAAAAUUGUAUUUUCCUUUAAUUAGUUUAUUAAAACAUCAUCGAAGCACCUGCCCUUUCGUCUCUCCCCAGGAGCUUCGAGACAUUUUUCAAUAAUA